Numida meleagris (helmeted guineafowl) is the source of this 944-nucleotide long non-coding RNA. The record is from Ensembl. NCBI's taxonomy places the organism in Eukaryota, Metazoa, Chordata, Aves, Galliformes, Numididae.
CUAGUGUAGAAAACUGAGACUGCACUAAAAAAGGCUAAAAUAAUAUGAAGCUAAAGUAUUAUAUUUUCAGAAACCCUUCAGUGAAGAUUUCCUUUAUAAUAACUAAUUUCAUCCUUUCUUCUUAUAUGUGACAUAUUUUCAACCAAUACACAUGAGUCACGUUGUUCACAAGAUCUGUUUUCCUAGCUUUGGCUGUGCUGCAAGAUUGUUGAGAGGAUGCCAAGGCUGUGGCAGCUGCGACGCAUUCUUUGUCUCUGUACCAGGACGGACUGACCAGGAGCAGGAUGUCUUGCACCCACAGCACCAGACCUGCACGCAGAAAAUAUCUGUAGGCAACUUUUAUAUAAAACAUGAUGUGCAUGAGCAAUGUUAUGAUCUGCUACAUGAUGCUGAUGGCAGAAAGAACCUUCCUCUCAGGACUCAUGGAAUCACACCUACAGGAUAGCAGGACAUGUCCAGAAUGAGGAGAGCAGGACUUCAUCCUGCUUUAAAUUCAGAUCUCAAUGUCUGCUGUUACUGUCAGUGGACUUGACUGUCUAGAAAGUUUUACUAUGUAUGUGAUGUAUUUUUUCCAGGUUUUCUUAUAACCCUAGUUAUUUGUGAUUUUCACUUUUACUCUAUCUCCGUCUCUCUCUGUGUCUUAUUUGAUAAAAAGACAUCUCUAGCAUAAUUUGCCUCUUUAAUGAUAGCAUGGAAAAGUUAAAAAGUGUUCUUGAAUACUACUGAUAAGGACUGCAGGACAAUGAGAGGUGCUUAAAACGGUCCAUGUGGGCCAAAGCUUUGUUUGCUGGCAAAAAAAUUGAAGUGGAACGGUUAUUUUGUAUUUAAGAAUUGCAUUUGGGUAUUUUUCAUUUUUUCCCACGACAAGAAAAGGUUGGAUAAUACAAGGAGCUCAGUGCUGCUCCUUGCUGAAAAAAGUAAUAAACAAACAUAUGAUAAUUGCA